Molecule: microRNA precursor, 67 nt
Filed under: Bombyx mori (domestic silkworm)
Lineage: Eukaryota; Metazoa; Arthropoda; Insecta; Lepidoptera; Bombycidae
Description: mir-2774 microRNA precursor family
Rfam family: mir-2774 microRNA precursor family
Source: Rfam by way of RNAcentral
ACAACAUUCGAACCGUCGGUCUACCCAGCAAUAACAUACGCUUGGUUGAAGAUCUUCCCUUCGUCGU